CAACAAUCGGCAUGGAACUGGGAUAUUCUUAUCAAAGGGCUGUGAAUGCAGGAAAAUGACUGAAUAUUACUUAGUCAACAACACUGGGUUAUGAAGAAUUCCAGCCUGCAUUAAAUACUAUGUUGGAUCCUUGAGAGCGGAUUUGACAGCCAUGUCCAUCCACAAGGCAGUCGCAUCUGAUCGAGAUGAUCACUAAACAUUCUUGAUGGGUAAAGUGCCUGAAGGUGCAUGAAAACCAAAUCAGCAUUGACUCAGCAUUGAGUAGUUAUCAUCUGUGCACACACUACAAGAACAAGCAUGGGAACAGACCAAACUUCAAAUGUUGAAAAGUGAAGAAUUAUUGUGAAAAAAAAACUAAUUGUUGGAAUACCAAUGACAAAAUAAAACAGAUAUACAUCA
Long non-coding RNA from Mya arenaria, 399 nucleotides. RefSeq lists it as uncharacterized. The transcript is spliced from 3 exons. The record is from RefSeq and is a predicted model, not a curated record. Lineage: Eukaryota; Metazoa; Mollusca; Bivalvia; Myida; Myidae.